GACGAACGCUGGCGGCGUGCUUAACACAUGCAAGUCGAACGGAAAGGCCCUGCUUUUGUGGGGUGCUCGAGUGGCGAACGGGUGAGUAACACGUGAGUAACCUGCCCUUGACUUUGGGAUAACUUCAGGAAACUGAGGCUAAUACCGGAUAGGAGCUCCUGCUGCAUGGUGGGGGUUGGAAAGUUUCGGCGGUUGGGGAUGGACUCGCGGCUUAUCAGCUUGUUGGUGGGGUAGUGGCUUACCAAGGCUUUGACGGGUAGCCGGCCUGAGAGGGUGACCGGCCACAUUGGGACUGAGAUACGGCCCAGACUCCUACGGGAGGCAGCAGUGGGGAAUAUUGCACAAUGGGCGGAAGCCUGAUGCAGCAACGCCGCGUGCGGGAUGACGGCCUUCGGGUGGUAAACCGCUUUCGCCUGUGACGAAGCGUGAGUGACGGUAAUGGGUAAAGAAGCACCGGCUAACUACGU
This 467-nucleotide ribosomal RNA is filed under the name uncultured bacterium. RNAcentral describes it as "partial 16S ribosomal RNA". It matches the Rfam family "Bacterial small subunit ribosomal RNA", at positions 28 to 506 of the family's 1533-position model. The record is from RNAcentral.